GUCCCUACUCUGGGAAUGACAUUGUUGCCAUUCACUGCAACAGUCCCUCCUCCUCUCUAUCAUUCAUGACUGUGAGAGGGCCAUUGCCUUUCAAUCAAUCACCAGGCAUGCUCUUCUCUCAUCUUCCUCUGUGUGCUCACCUUCCCCUUGCAAUAGUCACAACAUGCUUGCAUCAUGGAAAAGAGGAACACAUGUUUCAGUGCAUCAUUUCUAAGAGU
This 218-nucleotide long non-coding RNA is filed under the name Physcomitrium patens. RNAcentral describes it as "long non-coding RNA (PPAT_LNC007668)". Lineage: Eukaryota; Viridiplantae; Streptophyta; Bryopsida; Funariales; Funariaceae. The record is from RNAcentral.